AAUCACUGUGAUACAUCAAAUUAAUAGAAGAAAGGGUAAGAACCAUAUGAUCCUGUCAAUAGACGCAGAAAAAGCAUUUGAUAAAAUACAGCAUCCUCCUUUCUUAAUAAAAACCCUCAAGAAAGUUGUGAUAGAAGGAACACACGUUAACAUCAUAAAAGCCAUAUAUGAAAAAUCCACAGCUAAUGUCAUACUCAAU
Prionailurus viverrinus (fishing cat) is the source of this 199-nucleotide long non-coding RNA. RefSeq lists it as uncharacterized. Lineage: Eukaryota; Metazoa; Chordata; Mammalia; Carnivora; Felidae. The record is from RefSeq and is a predicted model, not a curated record. The transcript is spliced from 3 exons.